RNAcentral lists this ribosomal RNA (561 nucleotides) under uncultured beta proteobacterium. Its description in RNAcentral is "bacterial SSU rRNA". It matches the Rfam family "Bacterial small subunit ribosomal RNA", at positions 51 to 601 of the family's 1533-position model. The record is from RNAcentral. Lineage: Bacteria; Pseudomonadati; Pseudomonadota; Betaproteobacteria.
ACACAUGCAAGUCGAACGGCAGCAUGAUCUAGCUUGCUAGAUUGAUGGCGAGUGGCGAACGGGUGAGUAAUACAUCGGAACGUGCCCUGUAGUGGGGGAUAACUAGUCGAAAGAUUAGCUAAUACCGCAUACGACCUGAGGGUGAAAGUGGGGGACCGCAAGGCCUCAUGCUAUAGGAGCGGCCGAUGUCUGAUUAGCUAGUUGGUGGGGUAAAGGCCCACCAAGGCGACGAUCAGUAGCUGGUCUGAGAGGACGAUCAGCCACACUGGGACUGAGACACGGCCCAGACUCCUACGGGAGGCAGCAGUGGGGAAUUUUGGACAAUGGGCGAAAGCCUGAUCCAGCAAUGCCGCGUGUGUGAAGAAGGCCUUCGGGUUGUAAAGCACUUUUGUCCGGAAAGAAAUGGCUCUGGUUAAUACCUGGGGUCGAUGACGGUACCGGAAGAAUAAGGACCGGCUAACUACGUGCCAGCAGCCGCGGUAAUACGUAGGGUCCAAGCGUUAAUCGGAAUUACUGGGCGUAAAGCGUGCGCAGGCGGUUGUGCAAGACCGAUGUGAAAUC